UACGUAGGCAGCGAGCGUUGUUCGGAGUUACUGGGCGUAAAGAGUGCGUAGGCGGUGCUCCAAGUCUGGUGUGAAAUCUCCCGGCUUAACCGGGAGGGUGCGCCGGAAACUGGGGUGCUGGAGUGUGGGAGAGGUAAGCGGAAUUCCCGGUGUAGCGGUGAAAUGCGUAGAGAUUAGGAAGAACACCAGUGGCGAAGGCGACUUACUGGACUGUAACUGACGCUGAGGCAUGAAAGCGUGGGGAGCAAACAGG
This 253-nucleotide ribosomal RNA is filed under the name uncultured bacterium. Its description in RNAcentral is "partial 16S ribosomal RNA". It matches the Rfam family "Bacterial small subunit ribosomal RNA", at positions 524 to 776 of the family's 1533-position model. The record is from RNAcentral.